UGGGGAAUUUUGGACAAUGGACGCAAGUCUGAUCCAGCCAUGCCGCGUGCGGGAAGAAGGCCUUCGGGUUGUAAACCGCUUUUGUCAGGGUAGAAACGAGUUUCUCUAAUACAGAGACUUAAUGACGGUACCUGAAGAAUAAGCACCGGCUAACUACGUGCCAGCAGCCGCGGUAAUACGUAGGGUGCAAGCGUUAAUCGGAAUUACUGGGCGUAAAGCGUGCGCAGGCGGUGAUGUAAGACAGAUGUGAAAUCCCCGGGCUCAACCUGGGACCUGCAUUUGUGACUGCAUCGCUGGAGUGCGGCAGGGGGGGAUGGAAUUCCGCGUGUAGCAGUGAAAUGCGUAGAUAUGCGGAGGAACACCGAUGGCGAAGGCAAUCCCCUGGACCUGUACUGACGCUCAUGCACGAAAGCGUGGGAAGCAAACA
RNAcentral lists this ribosomal RNA (427 nucleotides) under uncultured bacterium. RNAcentral describes it as "bacterial SSU rRNA". It matches the Rfam family "Bacterial small subunit ribosomal RNA", at positions 355 to 774 of the family's 1533-position model. The record is from RNAcentral.